CAACUAAAUAAGAGAUAAAGAAAGCAUUGCAUGAGAGCACGAUGAUUUUAUGAUUGAUUAAUGAUGUAUUUAUAUGAUGAUUUGUGAUAUGAUUUAUGUGGAUUUUAUCAUAGACGUAUUAGUAUGCAUAUGGGGUUGUAUGGGCAAGUCCAUAUGUAUAUUUUUACGGCUAGUUGCAUAUGAUGAUUUAUUGAUCUUCCUUAUAGACAUAUGUGAUUGUAUGCUUACGAGUUCGCCACGGGCAAGAACCGAUGUAUACUUUUAUGUCUAAACAUAUGUGAUUGUAUGCUUACGAGUUCGCUACGUGCAAGAACCUAUGUAUACUUUUAUGUCUAGCUGCAU
RNAcentral lists this long non-coding RNA (342 nucleotides) under Betula platyphylla (Asian white birch). RNAcentral describes it as "RNA11415.1". Lineage: Eukaryota; Viridiplantae; Streptophyta; Magnoliopsida; Fagales; Betulaceae. The record is from RNAcentral.